AAGUGGGAAACGAUGUGGGAAGGCUCAGACAGCCAGGAUGUUGGCUUAGAAGCAGCCAUCAUUUAAAGAAAGCGUAAUAGCUCACUGGUCGAGUCGGCCUGCGCGGAAGAUGUAACGGGGCUAAGUAGUAAACCGAAGCUGCGGCAAUAUACUUUUGUAUAUUGGGUAGGGGAGCGUUCUGUAAGCGGUUGAAGGUGUGUGGUAACGCAUGCUGGACGUAUCAGAAGUGCGAAUGCUGACAUGAGUAACGAUAAAGGGGGUGAAAAACCUCCUCGCCGGAAGACCAAGGGUUCCUGUCCAACGUUAAUCGGGGCAGGGUAAGUCGACCCCUAAGGCGAGGCCGAAAGGCGUAGUCGAUGGGAAACGGGUUAAUAUUCCCGUACUUCUUACAAUUGCGAUGGGGGGACGGAGAAGGCUAGGUGGGCCUGGCGACGGUUGUCCAGGUUCAAGUGCGUAGGCUUGAGAGUUAGGUAAAUCCGGCUCUUUUUAAGGCUGAGACACGACGUCGAGCACCUACGGGUGUGAAGUCAUU
RNAcentral lists this ribosomal RNA (532 nucleotides) under Vibrio parahaemolyticus. Its description in RNAcentral is "partial 23S ribosomal RNA". It matches the Rfam family "Bacterial large subunit ribosomal RNA", at positions 1061 to 1595 of the family's 2925-position model. The record is from RNAcentral. Lineage: Bacteria; Pseudomonadati; Pseudomonadota; Gammaproteobacteria; Vibrionales; Vibrionaceae.